RNAcentral lists this ribosomal RNA (663 nucleotides) under uncultured Alphaproteobacteria bacterium. RNAcentral's name for it is "bacterial SSU rRNA". It matches the Rfam family "Bacterial small subunit ribosomal RNA", at positions 44 to 755 of the family's 1533-position model. The record is from RNAcentral. Lineage: Bacteria; Pseudomonadati; Pseudomonadota; Alphaproteobacteria.
AGGCCUAAUACAUGCAAGUCGAACGGCUCUUCGGAGCAGUGGCGGACGGGUGAGUAACGCGUGGGAACGUGCCCUUUGGUUCGGAACAACACAGGGAAACUUGUGCUAAUACCGAAUGUGCCCUUCGGGGGAAAGAUUUAUCGCCAUUGGAGCGGCCCGCGUUGGAUUAGCUAGUUGGUGGGGUAAAGGCCCACCAAGGCGACGAUCCAUAGCUGGUCUGAGAGGAUGAUCAGCCACACUGGGACUGAGACACGGCCCAGACUCCUACGGGAGGCAGCAGUAGGGAAUCUUGCGCAAUGGGCGAAAGCCUGACGCAGCCAUGCCGCGUGAAUGAUGAAGGUCUUAGGAUUGUAAAAUUCUUUCACCGGGGAAGAUAAUGACGGUACCCGGAGAAGAAGCCCCGGCUAACUUCGUGCCAGCAGCCGCGGUAAUACGAAGGGGGCUAGCGUUGCUCGGAAUUACUGGGCGUAAAGGGCGCGUAGGCGGACAGUUUAGUCAGAGGUGAAAGCCCAGGGCUCAACCUUGGAAUUGCCUUUGAUACUGGCUGUCUUGAGUUCGGGAGAGGUGAGUGGAAUGCCGAGUGUAGAGGUGAAAUUCGUAGAUAUUCGGCGGAACACCAGUGGCGAAGGCGACUCACUGGCCCGAUACUGACGCUGAGGCGCG